This 429-nucleotide ribosomal RNA is filed under the name Actinomycetes bacterium. RNAcentral's name for it is "Actinobacteria bacterium partial 16S ribosomal RNA". It matches the Rfam family "Bacterial small subunit ribosomal RNA", at positions 355 to 776 of the family's 1533-position model. The record is from RNAcentral. Lineage: Bacteria; Bacillati; Actinomycetota; Actinomycetes.
UAGGGAAUCUUCCGCAAUGGGCGAAAGCCUGACGGAGCAACGCCGCGUGAGUGAUGAAGGUCUUCGGAUCGUAAAACUCUGUUAUUAGGGAAGAACAAAUGUGUAAGUAACUAUGCACGUCUUGACGGUACCUAAUCAGAAAGCCACGGCUAACUACGUGCCAGCAGCCGCGGUAAUACGUAGGUGGCAAGCGUUAUCCGGAAUUAUUGGGCGUAAAGCGCGCGUAGGCGGUUUUUUAAGUCUGAUGUGAAAGCCCACGGCUCAACCGUGGAGGGUCAUUGGAAACUGGAAAACUUGGGGGCAGAAGAGGAAAGUGGAAUUCCAUGUGGAGCGGUGAAAUGCGGAGGGAUAAGGAGGAACACCAGUGGCGAAGGCGACUUUCUGGUCUGGAACUGACGCUGAUGUGCGAAAGCGUGGGGAUCAAACAGG